This 465-nucleotide ribosomal RNA is filed under the name uncultured bacterium. RNAcentral's name for it is "partial 16S ribosomal RNA". It matches the Rfam family "Bacterial small subunit ribosomal RNA", at positions 338 to 795 of the family's 1533-position model. The record is from RNAcentral.
CCUACGGGGGGCAGCAGUAGGGAAUCUUCCACAAUGGGCGAAAGCCUGAUGGAGCAACGCCGCGUGGGUGAAGAAGGUCUUCGGAUCGUAAAACCCUGUUUUUAGAGAAGAAAGUGCGUGAGAGUAACUGUUCACGUUUCGACGGUAUCUAACCAGCAAGCCACGGCUAACUACGUGCCAGCAGCCGCGGUAAUACGUAGGUGGCAAGCGUUAUCCGGAUUUUUUGGGCGUAAAGGGAACGCAGGCGUUCUUUUAAGUCUGAUGUGAAAGCCUUCGGCUUAACCGGAGUAGUGCAUUGGAAACUGGGAGACUUGAGUGCAGAAGAGGAGAGUGGAACGCCAUGUGUAGCGGUGAAAGGCGUAGAUAUAUGGAAGAACACCAGUGGCGAAAGCGGCUCUCUGGUCUGUAACUGACGCUGAGGUUCGAAAGCGUGGGUAGCAAACAGGAUUAGAUACCCGAGUAGUC